RNAcentral lists this unclassified non-coding RNA (335 nucleotides) under Hevea brasiliensis (rubber tree). The record is from RNAcentral. Lineage: Eukaryota; Viridiplantae; Streptophyta; Magnoliopsida; Malpighiales; Euphorbiaceae.
GACGAAUUUAAAAAUUAAGUUCGAGCUUGUUUAAUCAUACAAACAAAUUGAACCAAAUCAAAUUUUUUUAACGUUAAAUCUUUGAGUAGAUCACAAGCAAUUCAGCUUAUUUACAGCUUUAAUUUUGAAACGCGUAUCCUUCUUCCAAAAAGCAAAGAGUAGAAGUAACUUUCCAAUAGCAAAAUAAUUAGCUCCAACGCCAGUUUCUCGUUCAUAUUACUUCGCCAAUGACGAAUUAGUACUUUGGAUACUUUUUUUUUUCCCUCGUAAAGGAAAAGAGCACGCGUUAUUGACAUACUCUCCACUUAGAACUAGCUUUAGAUGUGUUGAUUAAG